This 501-nucleotide unclassified non-coding RNA is filed under the name Monomorium pharaonis (pharaoh ant). Its description in RNAcentral is "uncharacterized LOC118647730, transcript variant X3". The record is from RNAcentral. Lineage: Eukaryota; Metazoa; Arthropoda; Insecta; Hymenoptera; Formicidae.
GAUUAAAUCAUAAUUUUCCAGAGAAAACUCAACUUUUGAUUAUAAAUACUCCUAACAUCUCUAAAAAAAUUUCAGAUAAUGAGAGUAUUGAUAGUCCAGCAAGUGACAAUUACUCAUUCAGAGUACCUGCUUCAGAUAUUAAAAAAAAACAGAUGUUGGAAUAGAAUCUGUAAUUAAAGAAACGUCACAAUUAAUAUCGGCAGCUUGCUCAUCUUUGCCAACAUUUCUAAAUGCAUCUUCCAAGGCAGACACAAAAGAAGAUGAAAGUUUAAUGUCAUUUUUGUUACUUGGGUUUAAACAUGUGCCUGCACAACAGAAAAUAAGAUGCGUGGUCCAAAUAUUAGAGGUUGUCUGAAGGGUGAAAGAUUUCCUUUUAUAAUUGGUGUGUGGUAUGGACAUUCAAAGCCCGAUGAUUUAGAAGGAUAUUUAUCUGAUUUUAUUGAAGAAAUUAAAAAUUUGAGUAGAAAUAGUUAUAAUUUCUAUGGAAAAAAUAUUGUUUUU